RNAcentral lists this ribosomal RNA (508 nucleotides) under uncultured bacterium. Its description in RNAcentral is "bacterial SSU rRNA". It matches the Rfam family "Bacterial small subunit ribosomal RNA", at positions 25 to 549 of the family's 1533-position model. The record is from RNAcentral.
CAGGAUGAACGCUGGCGGCGUGCCUAACACAUGCAAGUCGAACGGGAUAAGAGAUGCUUGCAUUUCUUAUCAAGUGGCGGACGGGUGAGUAACGCGUGGAUAAUCUGCCCUACACAGGGGGAUAACAGCCGGAAACGGCUGCUAAUACCGCAUAGACUGUAUUCUCGCAUGAGAGAACAGGGAAAGAUUUAUCGGUGUAGGAUGAAUCCGCGUCCGAUUAGCUAGUUGGAGGGGUAACGGCCCACCAAGGCGACGAUCGGUAGCCGGCCUGAGAGGGCGACCGGCCACAUUGGGACUGAGACACGGCCCAGACUCCUGCGGGAGGCAGCAGUGGGGAAUAUUGCACAAUGGGGGGAACCCUGAUGCAGCGACGCCGCGUGAGUGAAGAAGUAUUUCGGUAUGUAAAGCUCUAUCAGCAGGGACGAAGAUGACGGUACCUGCAGAAGAAGCCCCGGCUAACUACGUGCCAGCAGCCGCGGUAAUACGUAGGGGGCAAGCGUUAUCCGGA